UUUAACCUUAACCAGUUGAGUAUGGCCGUUGGUGGCUGACGAUACGUGCAUCUCUCAUCACGAGCAGAAGUAGUGGGGGAGCAUCAUAACAAUGUGUUGAGAGGCAUUCUAUGGGGUUUGAAUAAUUCGUCUCUGGGAAUAUAUGUGAUUUGUUCAACAUUCUUAAACAACUCUUAUUCAGGGACCUUUUGAGCUGGAUGGGCUACUCGACCUGAAAAAAAUCUAACUGGGCUCAUCCUGCAAGUUCAUACGCUCUUUAUCUUGAUAUGAGAUCAUCAUGUCGCGCACAUAUGGUUGUGAUGUAUGUGCCUGGUGUACCUUUAUCAGACAGUUUAGUCAAGAUGGGUAUAUUGGGCUUUGUACUCCAACGUCACUUUGAUGGCAUGUGCUGCUCUCUCACUCAGUAAUAGUAAUAAUUAGUAUAGUUUCUUUAUUAACCAAUGACUGAUGAUGAAAAACAGAACAACACAGACUGCUGAUACGUAAAAGUGUAUAAAAGUAAAAAUUAAAAAGAAUGAAGAAACAAAAUAUUCAAAGUAGGAAUAAUUCCCCCCAAAGAGGGAGACAUUCAAGGAUUACCCAAGGAAAUCCCGAAAAGGGGCGGUCACCCUGACCAUUAAGGCAAACGCCCUCUUCUAGCUUUCCACCACCCAUCUACGGGUGUAUGUUCAGAGCAUACCCGUUCGCCUUGACUAUGCUCACCACUCUCAUCCCCCUUUCAACAAAUUUGCUGCGAGGCAACACUUACCUCGCUACCCUCACUUUCCUUUUCACGCGAGAAUUGAAAAAGUUAAAAUGGGUUGGCGAAAGAGGAACUUCCUGUUUUCAGCAAUUUCAAAAGUGAUGACCAUUUCUUUUAAUUUCUACCAUGGCCAAUUCAUAUAUGCAAAAACGCGUUUCCAUGUUUUUGAAAUAUCCAAAUUUUAUGAACAUAUGGUGAUGUAAAGUUACAGAAGGUAACCAGUGGCGUAUGAAAGACAUCAUAAACUGUAUUGAGACAUUAAUUUGAAUGAAAAUUAAACAAAAUAUUUCAAUAAACGUAUCUAAUCAAAAAACGACAUAAUUGAAUGCGAUAUAAUUAACAAUAUAUACCAAAACAAGUAGUAAAGUUGAAUUUCUCCGUGGCUGAAGGGUGUUCGUUUUGUGUCUUACCUCCUGUUUGACCAUAUCUUUUCGCUCCGUUUUAUUGUAACCGUUUGCCACGCCUACCCAGACUUUAUCUGUUCCCUAUAACCGCUAGACGACGAGGUUGUAAUACUAAAGACGAAGAGCAUUCUUUGGGUUCCAGACCGACAACUUCAGGGACUGAAGAGAAAGCAAUCCCUUCCGUACGACUGGAGGUGCUUAGACAGUAGUCAUUUUGUGUUUUAUCUGUUGCUGUUUCUAUUGUAUCUGUUUUAUUUUUCUGCUUAUAGGCCAUUCCGGGUAAGAUCCAUCUAAUCGCUAUUAAACAUAUGCGGGUAACCACUGCGCUUGUAACCUUUCCUCACUAGCUUCAUUACUUUACUUUCGUCGCUUACCCACAACAGGCGAAGCUUCAGAAUAUCCUUGUGGUUUUGAAAGAUUAUUAGGAUUUGCUUGAUAAUGCUGAAAAUUCUCACUGUUGAUUCUGACCCCUACUAUUCUACAAGGAUUAACGUCAUCAAAUUUCGUAUUUUGUCGUCCCAUAUACGGGUCUAUAUCAUACGUGUUCGGCAUGCUUUCUCGCUCUGUCCUUAUCUUGCCCCACAAGCCCGACUUACCCCAAUCGGGGUAGGGCCUAUAGACCGGCUAUUUUUGUUGUCUCUGCUAUUCCAUACAUCGGCCAGAUACCUUCGGUUUUUGCUCACUCUUGGGUAAAGUUCUCAAAUUAGGAAAAACUCUCUUUUCCUCUUCUUUUCCUCGUCAUGUUCAAUUCUUUAGUGUGGCUAAUACCAUUUGUGCCACUGAAAACACGUUCACUUAAAUUGGCUCGUUUUCUUUGUUUGGCAAAUUCUGUAAGCAGAUCUUGAUGAUGGCAUUAAAUGAGUUAUUCGAACCAUUCAGUUUAACGUUUAAAAUGUUAAAAUGAUAUUACCGUGUGUGUGACGAGGGAAUCUAGUUAUGACAUUGAUUUUUUUCCCUUGAAUUUCUGUUUCUUUUCUGUGUAGUUAUUCUCAUGUGCGUCUCUGAGUAGAAACCAUCUUGAAUCUAAUGUAAACAGUAGCUGAAAAAAAAGCUAUAUCCCAGAAUAGUCCUCCCUAUGUGCUGGCAAUUCUAGGGUCAGAAAUUUAGCCCAUAGCACUGACCUCAGUACCUAACAGCUACUUUAUUUUAUCAACACUGAGCGGACGAAAGGCAAAGUCGAUCUCUGCGCGAUUUGAACUUGGAACGUCAAGGGUCGGAGAAAAUACAAUACGACUAUCUCUGAUGUAUCAGUGUAAAAUCAGCAAUUAAGCUGUUUGAAAACCUUCCUGGUGAUUCAUAAUGCAUAUAAUGUUUUUCUCAGUUAGUGAAAUGAGGUUAGCUUCUAUACUCUGUUGCUUGUGAACUAGUUUUAAUAAUUAAUUAGACUUCGAUCUACAUUGAUCCCAUUACUUAUUUCAGUUUGUUAUUUUUCUAUCCUAUGGCUAAGUAUUCCUUUUGACAUACAGGGACAUACCUCAACACACUGUUUACACUGGUUGAUAUCGACGAAUUAGCCCGGUAUACGUAGUAGAAUUGUUUGAAUGUGCUCCGGAAGUGAUUUGCAAGGCUUCGGCCUAUUUCUCCAAAAUAAAGACCGUUGUAACGUUUGCAAAUGAUAGAAUUCUGGGUAAUGUGAUAUUGUAACUUAGACUCUUUCGAAGCAUACUACUAUGCAUGCCAAGCCAACCUGUCGCCACCCACUUCAGCACAAUAAACCAUUCCAUCAAUCACUUACCAAAGUGUAGCAUGUCUCUACACCAAGGAUCCACAGUCUAGAAAACAGAAGGCACAACGUUUCAUAUUGGAACUUGGUACCAUAUCACCAACAGGUUUACAUGAAUUCUUCCAUUCUUUUACUUGUUUCAGUCAUUUUGCCUGUGGCCAUACUAGAGCACCGCCUUUUACUCGAAGAAAUCGACCCCAAGACUUAUUCUUUCUAAUCCUGGUACUUAUAUCUGUCUCUUUUGCCUAACCCCUCAGUUGGAGAAAACUUAGGAAUUGAUUGGGAUGGGGGGGUAAACAGACACAAACACACAAAUACACACACAUACACACGCAUAUACGAUGGGUUUCUUUCAAUUUCCGUCUACCAAAUCCACUCACAAAGCUUUGGACAGCCCGAGGCUAUAGUAGAAGACACUUGCUCAAGGUGUCACGCAGUGGGACUGAACCCGGAAAUAUGUGGUUGGGAAGCAAGCUUCUUGCCACACAGCCACGCCUGCGCCUAUUUUGCUUUCUUGUACAUCUACAUCUCUUCUUAGUUCAGUAAUACCUUUCUUCGUCUUCAACUCCUUUUCGCUUCAUCUUUUACCUCACUCUUACUUUCACCCGCUUUCCCUCCUUAUUCUAUUUUCUUUCCUUCUCCCUCUCUCAACUAGUUUUUCUCUCUCGCUACUUCCUGUUCACGUAUAAAGCUCCUGUGGUCCUGCGUCUCUUGUCAGUUGAAUCCAGUUUUUGUGACUUAGAGGAUGUAAAGCUCUGCCGUUUCUCUUUGAUUUCUAUCUUGCCAGCAUCUCUCUGAAAAAAAAGGACUCUGUUUGAAACGUCGGAUGUUUCACUCCCCACAACAAGUUUACUGUACGUUUUUAUCGAUCUUACUGAAUAAUACAAGUCUUUCCGGUGUAGACCGCGUCUAUGGGGUCUGCUUGAUCGUGUGUUGUGUGUCUGUGUGUAUGUGUGUGUGUACAAAUAAGGAAGAAAGUAUCAGUAUAGCAUAAGUUUAAUAUUGGUUACAAUUGUUUCAGUACCAUUCUUUUCAAAGGACAUUACGCAUAAAUGAUUAUGUAUGGAAAAUUACACAGCGGUUGUACAAAUUUACACACGUUUGAAAUGGCGUGGAAUAGUACCUCAUCAGACACUUACCAAACUUAGUUAUCAUAUAUGAUAUGCGACAAAGGCCAUUACUCUUUCUGAAUUCAGGGAAAAG
Molecule: long non-coding RNA, 4072 nt
Filed under: Octopus sinensis (East Asian common octopus)
Lineage: Eukaryota; Metazoa; Mollusca; Cephalopoda; Octopoda; Octopodidae
Description: uncharacterized LOC118764255
Source: RNAcentral